RNAcentral lists this microRNA (24 nucleotides) under Sphenodon punctatus (tuatara). RNAcentral describes it as "Spt-Mir-221-P1c_3p (mature (guide))". The record is from RNAcentral. RNAcentral also lists the same sequence under 2 other names. Lineage: Eukaryota; Metazoa; Chordata; Lepidosauria; Sphenodontia; Sphenodontidae.
AGCUACAUCUGAUUACUGGGUCUC